UGGGGAAUAUUGCACAAUGGAGGGAACUCUGAUGCAGCGACGCCGCGUGAGUGAUGAAGGAAUUCGUUUCGUAAAACUCUGUUCUAUGGGAAGAAAAGGACUGUACCAUAGGAGAAAGCUCCGGCUAAAUACGUGCCAGCAGCCGCGGUAAUACGUAUGGAGAGAGCGUUGUCCGGAAUUAUUGGGCGUAAAGGGUGCGCAGGCGGCUUUACAAGUUGGAUGUGAAAUAUUGUGGCUCAACCACAAACGUGCAUCCAAAACUGAAAAGCUUGAGUUAAGGAGAGGUAAGUGGAAUUCCUGGUGUAGCGUUGGAAUGCGUAGGUAUCAGGAGGAAUACCGGUGGCGAAGGCGACUUACUGGACGUAUUCUGACGCUCAGGCACGAAAGCGUGGGGAGCAAACAGG
RNAcentral lists this ribosomal RNA (404 nucleotides) under Fusobacteriota bacterium. RNAcentral describes it as "Fusobacteria bacterium partial 16S ribosomal RNA". It matches the Rfam family "Bacterial small subunit ribosomal RNA", at positions 355 to 776 of the family's 1533-position model. Lineage: Bacteria; Fusobacteriati; Fusobacteriota. The record is from RNAcentral.